AUUGUUGAAAGCCUUACGGAGACCUUUAGUUGUUAAUUUCUAUGUGAUUUGGUUUCUUAUGGAAAGUUAUCUCAUUGGCAAUCAUACCACAUCUUCUUUUUAAUAUGUAAAUAGGAAAAUGCAAUACUUUUACUUAGGAGUAUAUUUCGUCCACUUUGUCCGGCCGUGCGUCUGUUCCUUCCUCCGACAAACACUGUACAUAACCACUUUCGGAUAAUGUUUCCUCUUAAGCAAAAGAAGCAAUGUUAGCAAAUAGCAUAG
RNAcentral lists this long non-coding RNA (261 nucleotides) under Mytilus galloprovincialis (Mediterranean mussel). Lineage: Eukaryota; Metazoa; Mollusca; Bivalvia; Mytilida; Mytilidae. The record is from RNAcentral.